UAGGGAAUCUUCGGCAAUGGACGGAAGUCUGACCGAGCAACGCCGCGUGAGUGAAGAAGGUUUUCGGAUCGUAAAGCUCUGUUGUAAGAGAAGAACGAGUGUGAGAGUGGAAAGUUCACACUGUGACGGUAUCUUACCAGAAAGGGACGGCUAACUACGUGCCAGCAGCCGCGGUAAUACGUAGGUCCCGAGCGUUGUCCGGAUUUAUUGGGCGUAAAGCGAGCGCAGGCGGGUAGGUAAGUCUGAAGU
RNAcentral lists this ribosomal RNA (249 nucleotides) under uncultured Streptococcus sp. RNAcentral's name for it is "partial 16S ribosomal RNA". It matches the Rfam family "Bacterial small subunit ribosomal RNA", at positions 355 to 595 of the family's 1533-position model. The record is from RNAcentral. Lineage: Bacteria; Bacillati; Bacillota; Bacilli; Lactobacillales; Streptococcaceae.